GGCAACGUGGCUGAGUGGUUAAAGCGUAUGACUAGAAAUGCAUCUAAGCAUUAUAUGCAUCUAGAGAUCAUAUCCCUUCGGGGUCACAGGUUCGAGUCCUGUCGUUGUCG
Molecule: non-coding RNA, 110 nt
Organism: Ustulina deusta
Lineage: Eukaryota; Fungi; Ascomycota; Sordariomycetes; Xylariales; Xylariaceae
Source: the annotation of a GenBank genome assembly